CACGUAGGGCGCAAGCGUUGUCCGGAAUUAUUGGGCGUAAAGAGCUCGUAGGCGGUCUGUUGCGUCCGCUGUGAAAACUCGGGGCUUAACCCCGAGCCUGCAGUGGAUACGGGCAGACUAGAGGUAGGUAGGGGAGAAUGGAAUUCCCGGUGUAGCGGUGAAAUGCGCAGAUAUCUGGAGGAACACCGGUGGCGAAGGCGGCAUCCUGGACCAACACUGACGCUGAUGAGCGAAAGCCAGGGGAGCAAACGGG
Molecule: ribosomal RNA, 253 nt
Filed under: uncultured bacterium
Lineage: Bacteria
Description: partial 16S ribosomal RNA
Rfam family: Bacterial small subunit ribosomal RNA
Source: RNAcentral